GAUGAACGCUGGCGGCGUGCCUAAUACAUGCAAGUCGAGCGAACAGACGAGGAGCUUGCUCCUCUGACGUUAGCGGCGGACGGGUGAGUAACACGUGGAUAACCUACCUAUAAGACUGGGAUAACUUCGGGAAACCGGAGCUAAUACCGGAUAACAUAUUGAACCGCAUGGUUCAAUAGUGAAAGACGGUUUUGCUGUCACUUAUAGAUGGAUCCGCGCCGCAUUAGCUAGUUGGUAAGGUAACGGCUUACCAAGGCAACGAUGCGUAGCCGACCUGAGAGGGUGAUCGGCCACACUGGAACUGAGACACGGUCCAGACUCCUACGGGAGGCAGCAGUAGGGAAUCUUCCGCAAUGGGCGAAAGCCUGACGGAGCAACGCCGCGUGAGUGAUGAAGGUCUUCGGAUCGUAAAACUCUGUUAUUAGGGAAGAACAAAUGUGUAAGUAACUAUGCACGUCUUGACGGUACCUAAUCAGAAAGCCACGGCUAACUACGU
RNAcentral lists this ribosomal RNA (496 nucleotides) under uncultured bacterium. RNAcentral describes it as "partial 16S ribosomal RNA". It matches the Rfam family "Bacterial small subunit ribosomal RNA", at positions 28 to 506 of the family's 1533-position model. The record is from RNAcentral.